Molecule: ribosomal RNA, 468 nt
Filed under: uncultured bacterium
Lineage: Bacteria
Description: partial 16S ribosomal RNA
Rfam family: Bacterial small subunit ribosomal RNA
Source: RNAcentral
GACGAACGCUGGCGGCGUGCUUAACACAUGCAAGUCGAACGGAAAGGCCCUGCCUUUGUGGGGUGCUCGAGUGGCGAACGGGUGAGUAACACGUGAGUAACCUGCCCUUGACUUUGGGAUAACUUCGGGAAACUGGGGCUAAUACCGGAUAGGAGCUCCUGCUGCAUGGUGGGGGUUGGAAAGUUUCGGCGGUUGGGGAUGGACUCGCGGCUUAUCAGCUUGUUGGUGGGGUAGUGGCUUACCAAGGCUUUGACGGGUAGCCGGCCUGAGAGGGUGACCGGCCACAUUGGGACUGAGAUACGGCCCAGACUCCUACGGGAGGCAGCAGUGGGGAAUAUUGCACAAUGGGCGGAAGCCUGAUGCAGCAACGCCGCGUGUGGGAUGACGGCCUUCGGGUUGUAAACCGCUUUCGCCUGGGAAGAAGCGUAAGUGACGGUAAUGGGUAAAGAAGCACCGGCUAACUACGUG